Molecule: long non-coding RNA, 6271 nt
Organism: Meriones unguiculatus (Mongolian gerbil)
Lineage: Eukaryota; Metazoa; Chordata; Mammalia; Rodentia; Muridae
Exons: 3
Source: RefSeq, a predicted model, not a curated record
GAGGCUCCACUCUGUGGGCUGGCGAGAGAAUGCGCCUGUAUUUUGGACCCACAGAGGAGACAGAAUGAUUGGAAUGUCCUGCUCUAGUGCGGCUUCACUUGUCACGACACCUAAGAGGGUCCUGGCAUAGUCGGCCUCUGAUGAGAAUUGCCUAAUUCCUGAAGCUGCUGGUUAUCCACAGGCCAAGCGGGGACCCUGGCUGUGAACUGAUAGCAUGUCCAACAUGCAGAUCGCUUGUUAAAGGUUGUUGGCAUCAGACAUACACAGGUGUUUGUGUCGCAGUGAUAAUCUUCACUGAGGUACAUAUGAUCUUAUAGACAUACUGGCGACUCAGAACAGUGGUGUUUCUCUGUUGAACCAAGUAAGCUGGCAGGAGAGGUUCACUGAUCAAAGAAGCUUGUUAAUGCAAAGUCUGAAGAGUCCUGCCUUCCCUGGAGAUUCUGUCCGAAACCAGUUCUCAAGAAGCUGCGGGGCAGUGGACCGUACUUAGCAGAUGCAAGGUUAAAUAUAACCAAAGCAUCCCAACUUAACAAACACAUCAAAGAGUCAUAACAUUCCCCGAAGCUUGGCCACCGCGGUCCCUGCUGGGCACGCCUGUAGACCUGAGUACUGUUUGCACAUUCCCCCCCCGCCCCCCCACCCCCACCCCGCUCCCAACGGGGCCCGCCCCUGUGCCUUCUUCAAUGGCCUCAGUGCCGGUCCCGGAGGCCCAGAGCAGUCGCCAGGUGCGUUGGGACGCCCCGCCCUCUCCGGUUGGAGAGCGGGCAGACCGGUUCUACUCGUCUUGGUCGGAAGAAAGGAGACACCCCGGAGGCGGCGAGGCCCCGCGGGCUCCUCCCUCGCAUCCUUCCAGCCUCUCUCUGAACUUUUCUACCUGACACUGGAGACGCUCGCAGAGAGCAAGUCCCCCAGCCCAGCAGCCUGCCGAGCACCGUCUCCAGCGACGGGUGUGAAACUGUUCAACUCAAAACACAAACACCAGCCACUGACAUGUUUUUAAGAAACGCUCCAGUUGGAUGAGUGCGGGAACCAAAACAGACCAAAUGGGGAGGCAAGAAGGGAAAGCAAUUGGCCCAAUUCGGUUGGAGCAGCGGGCUCGUGUUACACUCCCUUUGCCAGUUAGCGACGUGGGCGUUUGUUGCUGUGUUAAUUACAGUUCUUCCCGGAGUCGGAGGCGAGAACAGCCCUCGUGGAAACGUUUCAAGUGGAACGUUCCACCAGGAAGCAAACAACUGCCUUCCUGCCCAGCUGGAAGGGAUUCCACCCGACGGCGAAGGGCGGGGCUGCGGGCGCGUCCUGCCCGGCUUUGCGCACGCGCCCCGCCGCGCUGGGCGCACCUGCCCGCGGGUAGCACCGCGCUCCCCACCGGCUCUGGGGGCGCUCAGGUGCCCUGGAGUCGAGACUGUGCGGCCGAGCGGCGGCUUCUUCCUCCACCGCCACUCCCCUUCCCCGGCGCCAGGGGGCUCGCGCUUUCAUUUUUUAUUUUUAUUUUUAUUUUUUCCCUUUUCUCCGGAGCUCCUGGGGAGUCGGUCCUGUUAUCUUCGCGGGGGUGGGAUGAGGAUGGGAACAGGUGGUGGCUCAGAAGGAAUCGGGGACAAGCCCGAGAUAGCGCGGCAGGGUGGAAAGUACAAGGCCUUCCAGAUACAGUGAGCUGGCUCCAGUCGCUGGCCUUCGUCACAUACGUGACCUUGGGCAAAGUUGUUUCACUUUUCUGAAAGGCUCCAGUGGCCUCGCGCGUAACUUCACGAGAGGCGGUGCUUGAAUAUGCUAUUGACUCUAUUGCCAGGACUUGUGUGAACGCAAACGUCACUAUAGCCUGUAAAGUACUCCGGGGCUGGGCGUGGACUUCACUUGUUAGACUGCUUUCCUAGCAAGCGUGAACCUUGGGCAUGAUCCUGGCACCACAUAAGGUCCCCAGAAAUCUCAGCGGGAGAUCAGGAAUUCAAGGCCACCCUUAUCUGCACAGAAGCCAGCAAAAGCAAACCACAAAACAAGCAAACCUUUUAAAAUUGUCAUUCCACACAUGAGAAAGCUAGGUGCUAGAACUACAUAUAAAUAGUAUAGAUAGAAUGAAAUAGCAGGAUGGUGGCUGUUCUUGUUUUCAUGACGUUGGGACCAUAAGCAACAGACACUAGCUCAGAGCAAUGUGCCCUCUAUUCAUGGGAGAAUGAAGGGGCAGAGAGGAAAGGGUCUUCUUGGCAAUUACCUACAUCCAGCAAAGGCAGCUGGAUAGCAAGAGGAAAUAGGCUGUGACUGCCAGCCCGCACAUAUUUAAAUACCCUAAAAAUUAGUUAGGCAAAGCCGCUAAGUCAUUAUUGGCUCAGCAAGGAGGGGCAUGGAGCUGAGAGUUGACACCUACUGUUCCAUAUCACUCACCACAAUACUGACCUGGCAGUUUCCCUCCAUUUUAGAAAAAUGCACCUCUUUUUCCCUACAGUGCUAUUUGGGCAUCUCACGAAUAAAAUUCUUGGAACCACCUCCAAAACUGCAAUCCAGAAACCACGGUGCUCACUACACACUGCCACUUAGGCACCCUCAGGGCCUGGCGCAGAUGUCUAAGAUAAUAUAUGGGAAGUGCUUUGCAAGGAAAGCACUAGUAAUGACAUUUUAAAAGGAUGCCAAACGUGCUCUGAGCGUCGAAGCUUCUCUGAAGAAAGUUUGUUAUUAACAUGUGACUCUCACUCAGAGUUUUAUGUUGUUCUUGGUAAAGUCAUUUUCAGAAUGGCUGUGGGGACAGGAUGGGAAGGGCACAGCCCAGGAAACAGGUUAUACUGGCCAUGGCCUGAUCUCCGCCUAGGCAGAACUGCUGGGGAGGUAGGGGCAGGGACUCAGGCUCCAAAGGGAACAGCUUGCUCUGUUUUCUCCGGGCAGGCAUGCCUGCUCUUGGGGUGGUUCACAUCUGGUUGGGGAUCUCUACCCUGAGUUAACUGCCUUCAGAAAAGAUCGCCACAAGUUUGGUGGCUUAAAAGAACCAAUUUAUCAUCGUGCGCUUCUGUAGGUUAGAAACCUGACACAAUCUGUCUUAUUAGGUGAGGUCGUAGGUCAAAUCCAUUUCUUAGACUUCCAGGGGCCUCCAGAGGCACCUUCCUCCCUCAGCAAUGACACCCCAAAGCCAUACAUUGUGUCAUCCUGAUAACUAUUUCUGCUUCCCUCAUCCUCUUUUAAGGAUGAUAUGAUCACAUUGGGCCCAUCCAGGUAGUUUAGGAUAAUUUCCCCUAUUUUAAACUGCCCUGAUUAGCAAACCGUGACUCGUUUGCAUCCCUAAUGCGUCUUUAGAAUUUAAUGUAUCACAAGCUCCUAAGGAUUAGGAUGUGGGUAUCUAUGGGGCCACACAUCCUGCUCAUCUCAAAGCCUUGACUAAUUCAGAAGCAUAUGCUCAGUGCUUCCUCUGUAAAGGAACUAUCAGGUAGGUCCUCUAGCUCUGUCACUCCCUAGUUAGGUUAAUUCAGGCAAAUUAUUUAACCCCUUUCACCUGCAGUGUCCAUAUCUGUCAAGUGAGGAUCAUGAUAGCACCAACCUGAUUGGGUUGCUGUUUUAAUUAAAUAAGAUAAUGCUGGGAAAAUAGCACCUGGCAUGUGAUGGGCACUCCCAAGUUUAGGGUUGUUAUUAUGGGUCAUGAGGCUUAUACAGCGUUGUCUGCCUCCACGGGGUUUGUGGAGUAACGCGGACUCACUCACAGCAUAUAGAAAUAAAUAGUGAAAACAUAAAAUGGCAUAUUACACUUGCUAACUGGCCUCGCACUGAUGAGAGAGGUGGAUUUAAGAUAUUCCCAACAGUCAGGAAAUGCCAGGAACGGGCGGGGCAGGUUGGUGACAGAAGUAGGAGCUAGGCUGGCUUUCCAGAGGUGAAGGAGGGAGGUUGGGCACGCUGCGCUUGCUAUGUCGACAAGGUGGCAGGAAAUGGGCUGGCUUCAGUCUCAUCUUGUGGGAUGGAGAGUUGGGAUAGGGCAUCCACUCAUUUCAUUCCUCGGGAUGUUUAGGAGAAGAGUGAAUGAUGAGACACGGGGCCCAACCCUAGAGCCUUAGCGUGCCAGGCUGUAGGGUCCAGACAGUUUUCUGUGGUAGUGGGGAGCCCUGGGAAGUUUAAGAGCAGAUGUAGGUUCAUAAGAGCGAUAUUUAGAAAGAUCAAACAAAGUAAAAAGUCAGCAGAAGACCUGUUGAGGAAUAUCUUCAGUGGUCCCUGUAAUAACAGUUGAAGGAGAUGUGAUGGCACUUGUCCUGAAAAGGGGGGAAUGGAUGCCCAAAACACAAGAAAUUAAGAGGAAGAGGCCUUGGUGAUAUUUUAGAUGAUGGGGGGAGGUUUGCAAAUUCCUGGAUGGUUGGUGACAGCAACGAUAGAAUAAGAGAUGGGUUCAGCUUGUAUUUUCCUGUUCGUGUGAGGUGUUGGCAGGUUAUCCAAGCGCAUGUGUCUAGAAGGCCACUGCGAAUGUGGAAGUGGAACAUGAGGGAGAGGUCAUGGCUGGAUAGUUAAGACUGAAAGCCGUCAGUAGGUAGGUCAUGGCUACAGUGCCUCACCACGAUUCCCAACUUUCUAUGUUUAAACCCACUUUAUUGUCUAAAACUGGUGGAUUCCUGAUAAAGUCCCUCCUCUUUUCAUUUCACAUUUUCUCCCCACUCCUUGUUCUGAGCUGAAAUUUCUCCUUCCCAACUGCUUAUGUUGAAAUCUUAUCCUCUACCUCCUUAUAAUAUGACUGUAUUUAGGAAUGGGGUCGCUAGCGAAGUAACUAAAGGUCAUGAUUUGUGUUCUUGUCAGAAGGGAUUAGGACAAAGACACACAGAGGGACAACCAUAUGAAGCUAAGACUGCAGGAUAAUGAGAAAAACACAGUCUGGUUUUUGAAGCCACUCUGUUUAUGGUACUUUGUUGUAGUUGGCUCUAACAAAUCAAUAUGCUUCUCUAGGGACCAGUGCCUUUAGGGUUCCCACUCAUGGGAGCUGAGCGCGCUCCAAAGUACUGAUUUGUUCCAAGACUUUGGUUUCACCAGGUCUGUUGCCUCCAGUGUCUAGAAUGUCCUGGGUUGUGUAUAAAGUUUUCAGAAAUAUUGUUGUUGAUGAAUGGAAGGAUAGUGAUGGCCUUUAUCUUGGGAGGCUGUGGUUGUCCACAGCUGGCCCGUGGGAUGGGGUGCUGGUCAAAGAAGCCUUUUGAAUAUGAGGCUUACGGCUGUUCGUUGACUGUCAUGCCACCUGUUCCUAAGGCUGGCACCAGCAAUGGAUUGCUCUCUGUGCUUUCUUCUGAAGCCGUGCUCAGGAACAGAGCGAAACCUGCCUCUUCCAAUUAGCAGGGCAGAAAACAGCGCUUUGUUGCACUUAACUUGUGUUUCUUCUCUCUGUGUUUAGUAACCACUAUGAAUCUUAUUUGGGUCUUGUUUUUCAAGAUACAAAAAUAAAGUAUCAGGAGAGGUGAAAGCGAAGUCAGCACUUAAAGUAGCCUGCAGAGGAAAACCAACUCAGUGACGAAUUCACAUAUCCACCGGUAAGAGUGGAAUAGAACGACCAGUGCUUAGAAAUCCUGUCAGCGCAGCUGGACAGUUUCCAAGCCUGCCUUGUGGACGUUGGUGACAGUGAGAUAUUCAGAUGAGGAUCGUGUCCUCAGUGACUUCUUUGUUCAGUAGAGCUGGCCUUUAUGAUGCAUUGAAGCAGUUAUUAUGAGAAAGACGCUGGUGAACUAUUCCCCAUCUUCCGGAGGACAGAAUGAGGGCCACAAAACAGAACAGUCCUUGGAAAGAGCUUGCUAGCAAAAGCCAUGUCUGGCUAGGUUGUUCUCUAACUCCCUCUUCUGGAAGGCUGUGGUACCUACCUGAGUUUUUCUCGGCUCCACUUGUGGAAUGACUGUUCUGGUGCCCAGUCCUAUCAAUAGACGGGGACUUCCCCGGGACACGUCUCAUCUGUCUUUGUCUCUGAUUCAGCUUCUAGCUGGCACCAGGUAUCCCUCAGGGGCUGAAGAGAGUAGCUGGCUAACCCUUUGUCCUUUAAAAAUGUUUUGGUGCUUCCCGGAGUCUCUGUCUCUCUGUCUCUCGGUCUCUCUGUCUCUCUCUCUCUCGUGUAUGUAUGUGUGUGUGAGAGGGAGAGAGAGAGACAGACAGACAGACAGAAACAGAAACUAAGAGAGAGAGAGAGAGAGAGAGAAAGAGAGAGACAUAUGGGGAGGGAGAGAGGGAGGAGAACUAUGAAUAAACUACUAUUGAAAAUGAUUAUGGCAGUUGUAUACAAAUUCUGUCUAUCUAUCUAUCUAUCUAUCUAUCUAUCUAUCUAUCUAUCUAUCUAUCUAUCUAU